GAGGGGGCUGUGGAGGGGCUGCAGCUUUGCUGCCUCCACUGGGGCGAGGGUAACUCUGGGCACUGACCCAAACACGUCGAUCAGUCAGGCACUGCGAGACCAAAACUCCAGUGCCUUGAAAUUAGAGAUUAGGCCACUGUUUUCAAAGUCUGCAGGAUGUGACCCGGACUAGGACAACUCAUCCAAGAGAAUGAGCAGUUGCUACAGGAGAUGCCAGGCACAAGCUCAAUGCAAGAUCUUCUUCCUGCCUCUGGGGAUCUGGUAAUCCAUACUGCGAGGAAGAAUUGAUGGGAAACAACUUACAGCACCUUGCUAUGAAUUAGCUCUUGGUCAUCUCCAGCAGCAUUAACUUUCCAAGUGUAUUAUUAUCUCAGAAGCUAUGUUGCACUUUUAUUUUUUUU
Molecule: long non-coding RNA, 401 nt
Organism: Hirundo rustica (Barn swallow)
Lineage: Eukaryota; Metazoa; Chordata; Aves; Passeriformes; Hirundinidae
Exons: 3
Source: RefSeq, a predicted model, not a curated record